CGGAUUCUGGCUCAGAUUGAACGCUGGCGGCGUGCUUAACACAUGCAAGUCGCGCGUGAAAGGACUUCGGUCCGAGUAAAGCGGCGCACGGGUGAGUAACGCGUGGAUGAUCUACCCAUGAGUUAGGAAUAACGGCUGGAAACGGUCGCUAAUACCAAAUACGCUCCGAUUUCAACUUCGGGGGAAAGGUGGCCUCUGCUUGCAAGCUACUGCUCAUGGAUGAGUCCGCGUCCCAUUAGCUAGUUGGUGGGGUAACGGCCCACCAAGGCGACGAUGGGUAGCCGGUCUGAGAGGAUGACCGGCCACACUGGGACUGGAACACGGCCCAGACUCCUACGGGAGGCAGCAGUGGGGAAUAUUGCGCAAUGGGCGAAAGCCUGACGCAGCGACGCCGCGUGAGGGAUGAAAGGUCCUCGGAUCGUAAACCUCUGUCAGGAGGGAAGAACCGCCACGGUGCUAAUCAGCCGUGGUCUGACGGUACCUCCAAAGGAAGCACCGGCUAACUCCGUGCCAGCAGCUGC
Molecule: ribosomal RNA, 521 nt
Filed under: uncultured bacterium
Lineage: Bacteria
Description: bacterial SSU rRNA
Rfam family: Bacterial small subunit ribosomal RNA
Source: RNAcentral